AAACAUCUCAGUACCUGGAGGAAGAGAAAAUAAGAAUGAUUUCCCAAGUAGCGGCGAGCGAAAAGGAAGGAGCCCAAACCGAUCUGAGGAUCGGGGUAGAAGGACCAUCACCAAAGCGAAGCGUCAGGCAUAGGAGAAUGAGCUGGGAAGCUCAACCGCAGGGGGUGAAAGUCCCGUAUCCGAAAUGCGAGACGCGCGUGAGAUGGCACCUGAGUACGGCGGGACACGAGGAAUCC
Molecule: ribosomal RNA, 236 nt
Filed under: Thomasclavelia spiroformis
Lineage: Bacteria; Bacillati; Bacillota; Erysipelotrichia; Erysipelotrichales; Coprobacillaceae
Description: partial 23S ribosomal RNA
Rfam family: Bacterial large subunit ribosomal RNA
Source: RNAcentral